This 445-nucleotide ribosomal RNA is filed under the name uncultured bacterium. Its description in RNAcentral is "partial 16S ribosomal RNA". It matches the Rfam family "Bacterial small subunit ribosomal RNA", at positions 354 to 796 of the family's 1533-position model. The record is from RNAcentral.
GUGAGGAAUAUUGGUCAAUGGGCGCAAGCCUGAACCAGCCAUGCCGCGUGCAGGAAGACGGUCCUAUGGAUUGUAAACUGCUUUUAUUUGGGAAUAAACCUCCUUACGUGUAGGGAGCUGAAGGUACCAAAUGAAUAAGCACCGGCUAACUCCGUGCCAGCAGCCGCGGUAAUACGGAGGGUGCAAGCGUUAUCCGGAAUCAUUGGGUUUAAAGGGUCCGCAGGCGGUCAUAUAAGUCAGUGGUGAAAGCCUACAGCUCAACUGUAGAACUGCCAUUGAUACUGUAUGACUUGAAUUCGAUCGAAGUGGGCGGAAUGUGACAUGUAGCGGUGAAAUGCUUAGAUAUGGCACAGAACACCAAUUGCGAAGGCAGCUCACUAAGGCGAUACUGACGCUGAGGCACGAAAGCGUGGGGAUCGAACAGGAUUAGAUACCCUAGUAGUCC